UGAGGAAUAUUGGGCAAUGCCCGCAAGGGUGACCCAGCAACGCCGCGUGGUGGAUGAAUGUCGUAAGAUUGUAAACUCCUGUUAGAGGGGAAGAAUAGUACCGGUUGGACCGGUAUAUGACUGUACCCUCAGAGAAAGCACCGGCUAACUACGUGCCAGCAGCCGCGGUAAUACGUAGGGGGCAAGCGUUGUCCGGAUUUACUGGGUGUAAAGGGCGCGCAGGCGGGAUAAAAAGUCAGUGGUGAAAUCCUACAGCUUAACUGUAGAACUGCCUCUGAUACUUUUAUUCUUGAGUUCGGGAGAGAGAGACGGAAUUCCAGGUGGAGUGGUGAAAUACGUAGAUAUCUGGAAGAACACCAGUUGCGAAGGCGGUCUCUUGGUCCGACACUGACGCUGAGGCGCGAAAGCGUGGGGAGCAAACA
RNAcentral lists this ribosomal RNA (422 nucleotides) under uncultured bacterium. RNAcentral describes it as "bacterial SSU rRNA". It matches the Rfam family "Bacterial small subunit ribosomal RNA", at positions 355 to 774 of the family's 1533-position model. The record is from RNAcentral.